RNAcentral lists this ribosomal RNA (524 nucleotides) under Serratia rubidaea. RNAcentral's name for it is "bacterial SSU rRNA". It matches the Rfam family "Bacterial small subunit ribosomal RNA", at positions 8 to 521 of the family's 1533-position model. Lineage: Bacteria; Pseudomonadati; Pseudomonadota; Gammaproteobacteria; Enterobacterales; Yersiniaceae. The record is from RNAcentral.
AGAGUUUGAUCCUGGCUCAGAUUGAACGCUGGCGGCAGGCCUAACACAUGCAAGUCGAGCGGCAGCGGGAGGAAGCUUGCUUCCUCGCCGGCGAGCGGCGGACGGGUGAGUAAUGUCUGGGGAUCUGCCCGAUGGAGGGGGAUAACCACUGGAAACGGUGGCUAAUACCGCAUAACGUCGCAAGACCAAAGUGGGGGACCUUCGGGCCUCACACCAUCGGAUGAACCCAGAUGGGAUUAGCUAGUAGGUGGGGUAAUGGCUCACCUAGGCGACGAUCCCUAGCUGGUCUGAGAGGAUGACCAGCCACACUGGAACUGAGACACGGUCCAGACUCCUACGGGAGGCAGCAGUGGGGAAUAUUGCACAAUGGGCGCAAGCCUGAUGCAGCCAUGCCGCGUGUGUGAAGAAGGCCUUCGGGUUGUAAAGCACUUUCAGCGAGGAGGAAGGUGGUGAACUUAAUACGCUCAUCAAUUGACGUUACUCGCAGAAGAAGCACCGGCUAACUCCGUGCCAGCAGCCGCGGU